UCGAGCGGGGUUACUGCGACAGAUCCCUUCGGGGUGACGUUGCUUUAACCUAGCGGCGGACGGGUGAGUAACGCGUGGGUAACCUACCCUAAAGCUCGGGAUAACAGUGGGAAACCGCUGCUAAUACCGGAUGACUUUAACCUAUGGCAUCAUGGGUUAAAGAAAGAUUUAUCGCUUUAGGAUGGGCCCGCGUCCCAUUAGCUAGUUGGUGAGGUAACGGCUCACCAAGGCGACGAUGGGUAGCCGGCCUGAGGGGGUGUACGGCCACACUGGGACUGAGACACGGCCCAGACUCCUACGGGAGGCAGCAGUAGGGAAUAUUGCGCAAUGGACGGAAGUCUGACGCAGCGACGCCGCGUGAGCGAUGAAGGCCUUCGGGUCGUAAAGCUCUGUCCUUGGGGAAGAAGGUCUUCGGACUUGACGG
Molecule: ribosomal RNA, 424 nt
Filed under: uncultured bacterium
Lineage: Bacteria
Description: bacterial SSU rRNA
Rfam family: Bacterial small subunit ribosomal RNA
Source: RNAcentral